Long non-coding RNA from Stegastes partitus (bicolor damselfish), 358 nucleotides. RefSeq lists it as uncharacterized. NCBI's taxonomy places the organism in Eukaryota, Metazoa, Chordata, Actinopteri, Pomacentridae. The record is from RefSeq and is a predicted model, not a curated record. The transcript has 3 exons.
AGGCUUGUCAGCAGCACAUCCAGUGAGGUGGACUCGGUAACAUCAGUCAGGUCCUCAUUGUUGUGGAAGUCCAGAGGAAGGCGACACUCAUCCAGACCGUCAAAGAUGAACACAACCUGGAAGUCUUCAAACCUGCAGAUUCCUGCUUCUUUGGUUUCAGUAAAGAAGUGAUGAACAAGUUCCACCAAACUGAACUUUCUCUCUUUCAGCACAUUCAGCUCUCUGAAAGUGAAUGGAAAUGUGAACUGGAUGUCCUGGUUGGUUCUGUCUUCAGCCCAGUCCAGAGUGAACUUCUGUGUUAACACUGUUUUCCCGAUGCCAGCCACUCCUGUUGUCAUCACUCUCCUGUUGGUUUGUU